RNAcentral lists this ribosomal RNA (301 nucleotides) under uncultured bacterium. Its description in RNAcentral is "partial 16S ribosomal RNA". It matches the Rfam family "Bacterial small subunit ribosomal RNA", at positions 509 to 810 of the family's 1533-position model. The record is from RNAcentral.
CAGUCGCCACGGUAAUACGAAGGGGGCUAGCGUUGUUCGGAUUUACUGGGCGUAAAGCGCACGUAGGCGGAUUCUUAAGUCAGAGGUGAAAUCCCAAGGCUCAACCUUGGAACUGCCUUUGAUACUGGGGAUCUUGAGUCCGGGAGAGGUGAGUGGAAUUCCGAGUGUAGAGGUGAAAUUCGUAGAUAUUCGGAAGAACACCAGUGGCGAAGGCGGCUCACUGGACCGGCAUGACGCUGAGGUGCGAAAGCGUGGGGAGCAAACAGGAUUAGAUACCCCUGUAGCCCUGUCUCUUAUACAC